GGCAAGGUCCUUGAUUUUUCUAAAAGAAACAAGAAAGGGAAAAGAAAAAAUGGAACGGUUGAAUUAUCGAAUCGAUAUAAAGGAAAUACUAUAAUUUUAACGAGAGAUUGCGCCACUCUGUAUACUUUUCGUGACUCUUGUGAAUUUCCGACGAUUCUUCGUACCGCUUGACAAACAACGCCAGUACCUUUGUGUGCCAACGUCUCGACGGAGCCCAAAUAACCUAAAAGGUAUCGUUCCCUUUUCACUUUUGGUGCCGAUGGAUCAAAAUCACUGUAAUCCAUGUCGACCGCAUAAGCCGAGGGGAAGAUACCUUGCCGACCUGUUCUCAGGUUCACACCUUCAAUGCGAUAAGUCGUCGGCCUCUUUUUGAACGUAAAUAGGAUCGCCAAUUUCAAGAUCGAUCUCAUCGUGGUGUCUUGGCACGAAUUUGUGCAAUCCUCGAUGCGUUGCCUCCAAUAGUUCCAGUUGAGUAAACGGUACACCGCCGCUUCCUUCGAAGCGACACGAGAGCAUUACGAUGAAAAUUACAAUGAAAAUUCAAGUUUGCCGUAAAACGAGAAAAAGUCACCUGGUGUACUACUCGGCGAGACAGAGUCCGUGUUCUGUAAUGUGUUACAAGGUAUCGGCGAUACACUUUUUGGCCCAUUUUCUGGCGAGUGAGCAGUGGAAUGGCCACUGUCGGUGGCCAUUCGCUCGCUGUCGGGCGAACUGUCCUCGUGACGGAGCCUUGAAUGACAUUUUCGUAAAACUAAAUGCGGUCGGCUGGAAUUAGAACCAGUUGCUGCGUUCAAUUCGUCUGCCAGAGACGACGAGGACUGCAUAGACGUUUGUCCAAUAGGGAACGAAUGAAACGAAUGACUACCUUCUUCUGAAACAACAACAACAAGAUGCUCGAAGAAAGCGUGAGAACUUUAUAUAUUCUGCUUCUGAAUGUAUAUAAAAAAAAUCAUUGCGUAAUCAUAACGCAUUUGAUACAUAUCAUUGUAUAACUACAAAUAUAACCAAUCGUAACUGCAUGUAAGUCAUGAUCAGAUGUAUGGAUCUCAAACAAGUGGUAUGACGUAAGUUAAAUGUCAUUAUGGAUUUUCUUUCGCUGCGGUCGUCGAUUCUGCGGUUAAAUAUGCGACUUGGAUAUUUAAUUUGGAGCCUCGUUUUUCAAUCUUCAACAAUCCCUCUUCCUUUUACCAACCUUUCUCGAUAAAAGAUGCUGAAGAAAUCAUUUAUUUAUAUCAUUGUCUAUCAUAUUCUUUCUCGCGAGGAAAACACGAGGUAAAUGUAUAAUAAUAAUAAAGCUAUGAUGAACGAGUUUUCCAAUGAGCUAUCGCUUCUACUCUGUCUUACAAUAUACAUAACUUAAGAAGGAUUUGAUUUACUCGAAUUUAAGGGAUUUCCGGUAAUCUUCGACGUCUGCGCUCGGUGCUACCGCUUCCGGGACGAUUCGAGGGCACAUGUUCCGGUGUCGGCCAGGAACUCAAACUCGAACAGGAAUCCCCGACGUCGCUGACUACGCUAUCUCUACCACCGUUACCGGAUCCGGUAGUGCUACCUCCACCAGGACCCGGUCCACCGACGCCUGCUGAUCGACCCCUGCUGCUCAGUCCACCGAACAAGCUAAUGUCACCCAAGGGUAGUUGUGUAGUGAGCUAAGCUACCUUUCACCAUGCCAUUUAAAGUGUGUAGGUUGUACUUCUUUUUUUUUUUCUUUUUGUUUGUUUUGUUCUUGGAAUAUCCGCUACCACUACCAAGUUACACAAGAUCACAAUUGAGAACGGAUCACAAGGUUUGAUUUUAUUUUUUGAAAAGCAUCAAAUAGAAUUUCUUGAACGAAUAAUAAAUAUUUCUUUUUCUUUUCUUAGCAAAUUUAAUUCGAUCGAUAUAUACGAGGUUUUCGAAUUACAUCCGUCAUUAUAGGUUAUGUCGUGCAAUUUGUUCUCAAUGUUUCGACUAUAUAAAGGGAUUUUUACUUCUUCUGUAGAUGCAAGACACACAUGAUAUCGAACUAUCCUAGUUGUUUAAAUACAAUGGUGACGUGCAAAUUUGCCUGAACCAUAAUGCAUUUUUAAAAUGCGUAUAUCGAUAGAUAAAUGAAAAAGUAUCGAUAGCUUUUUUUUAAACGAAAUAGAGAACGUUUGGAAAUAAUUAUAACCUUCUAGAUCUAUGAAAGGAAAUUUGAGAAUGUUUCGUAUUGAUGUUAAAACGGGUACAUACUUCUUGCAUGCAAGUUAUGCUCAAAAAAAUAAAGGCCAAAGAAGAAGUAGGUUAACACUUACGAGGUUACCAACCUAAAGUCGCUAUCAGCUACAAUGGAACAAUUAUGAUCAAGAUCCUCGCUGUCAUCUCCAGAAGUAUGCCCGCUUUGGUUAUCGUGCCGAUGAAUGACCACCACUUCCUCAUCCUCGGAAUCGACAGCAACUCCGUCGCAAGAUCUCUCCACCUCCGCAUCGCUAUCCUGCGACGAGGUCGGCGAAUCGUCUAUCAUCACAUCGUGGACAAGCCUAUUUCGAAUGAUAAUUUGGAAAAUUAAUUAAUUAAUCGUUCAAAACGCAGAAAAAUUUAGGUAGAAAUUUUUUAACCGAGAUCGAUACGUCGUGUUUUGAUACAUCUUCUGUAAAAACGGUUUUAAAAGUCAAGUAUAUCCAAGUUGACAACGAAUUAUCAUAAAAUGUCACUCGUGAUAUAUUGUUGCAGACUUGGAUAUUUAAUUUGAAGCUUCAUUUUUUAAUCUUAUAUAUAAUCAAGAAAUACUUGAAUUCUAUUAACAGUUGCUUGAGAGAUGAAACAGUUUAUAAAUUUAAUUAUUCGUUGUAAUCAAACGAGAACAAAUAAUCGUUUGAAGAUUACAAACAAUUUAUUGUUGCAAAUGGAAGACGAAGGAUUAGAUAAUUAAAAAAUUGGGAUGCAUCCAUGAAUAGCCGUGUGUUUUAUUUGUUGAGCAAGUAAUUAAGACUGACAGAUAAAGUGAAAACGAUUUCACAUACGCGGCAGACUUCAAUCGAUUUUAUUUCGCACCGUUUUAAUGCACAUGUGCAUUCAUAAAUAAAGAAAAUUGUCAUCUA
RNAcentral lists this long non-coding RNA (3059 nucleotides) under Apis mellifera (honey bee). Its description in RNAcentral is "uncharacterized LOC102655868, transcript variant X3". The record is from RNAcentral. Lineage: Eukaryota; Metazoa; Arthropoda; Insecta; Hymenoptera; Apidae.